AUGAAAAUCUAUCACCUGAUCAAUAUUUCUGACCUUUUGCUCCUUUUGUUGUGCUUGUUGGGGGAUAUUGGACUUGCAAGCACCGGUGUGAAAGUGAAACCAAUAUGCAUUGAGGAUGAGAGGAAAGCACUUAUGGGCUUUAAAGAAGAUCUUACUGAUCCAUCUUGAAGGCUUUCUUCUUGGGUAGGUCAUGAUUGUUGCCAGUGGGAAGGGAUUUCAUGCAACAACCGCACCGGUCAUGUUGCCAAGAUCGAUCUCUAGAAUACAUAUCCACAUUCCACAGCUGAUGAAGAGUGGGACGACAUGAAGUAUGAACAGUCUUGUUUGGGGGUUAAGAUAAACUCUUCUUUGCUUAGCUUGAAACAUUUGUAUUACCUGGACUUAAGUUGGAAUAAUUUUGAAAGGAUUCACAUUCCUAAGUUCUUUGGGGAGCUUAAAACUCUGAGGUAUCUCAAUAUCUCCUUUGCAUUGUUUGCAGGAGAGAUUCCCCCUUCUCUUGGUAAUUUGUCAAACUUGAACUAUCUUGACGUAUCUUAUUCUCUUUACUCCUCAUUCGAAAUACAUUCCAAAAAUUUGAAUUGGCUUUCUCUUCUCUCUUCCCUAAAAUACCUCAAUCUCAAUGGAGUGGAUCUUAGCAACGCAAGAUUUAAAAAUUGAUUGCAUGUUGUUAACAUGCUUCCUUCCUUACUGGAGUUACACUUAUCUCAUAGCUUGAUUGAAAGCCUUCCACUAUCAUUGCAUAGGGUUAACUUCACCUCACUUUUGGUCCUUGAUGUAUAAUAUAAUUCCCUCAAUACUUCUUCAUUUCCCAGCUGGCUUUUCAAUCUUACUAGCCUUAGAAAACUUGAUCUAAGCUGGAAUUCUUUCACUAGUCCUUUUCCAGGUGAAUUUGCAAGCCUCAAAUCUCUGGAUUACCUAGAUUUGUCUGGUUGUGGCCUGGAAGGCCAAUUGCCGGCCUCCUUAGGAAUGUUAAAAAGUUUGCAGUAUUUGCACCUAUCUAAUAAUCGUAUGAAAGGGUCCAUUCCAGAAAGUCUAGGACAACUCUCUGAGCUAGUUGAACUACAUUUGUCUUCCAAUCCUUGGGAAGGAUUUAUAAUGGAAGCCCAUUUCACAAGUCUCACCAGAUUGAAACAUCUUUCGAUAAGGAACAAUGGAAUAAAGAAGCUCAUGUCCCUCGUUUUCAAUGUGGCUUAUGAUUGGGUUCCUCCUUUCAAGCUCCACAAAAUUGAGAUUACCAACUACAAAGUAGGUUCUGGUUUUGGUGUAUGGCUUCAAUCUCAGACUGAAUUGUCUUAUGUCACCCUUAGUAGCACUGGAAUCUUCUAUAGCAGAGGAAUGGCUUUUGAAGAUAUCUUCCUAACUCACACACCUGGAUUUAUCUCACAACCAAUUCCAUGGAAUGCUUCCAUCGAUCCAAUUGAGAUUUCUGAACCCAUUUCAAAUAAGUUUGGCUCAUAAUUAAUUUGAGGGCCCACUCCCACUUUGGUCCACUAAUGCCACUUACUUUGAUCUCUCAAGCAAUUUAUUUUCCGAACCAAUUCCCUCGAAUUUUGACAAGCUGAUGCCCAAAUUGGUAGAAUUGUUUCUUUCAAAGAAUGAUUUGAAUGGUACUCUUCCACAUUCUAUUUGCAACAUGCAAAACCUGACAGCCCUUUCGCUAAGGAGUAAUCAUUUCUCUGGAGAACUCCCACACGCAUGGAGUUCAGGGAGCCUGAAAAGCAUUGUAGAUGCUGCCUACAACAAUCUCUGUGGUAAUAUACCCACUUCAAUGGGGGUAUUAAGUUAUCUUCAAAUAUUAAAGCUGAAGAGCAACAAUUUUGAGGUAAGAUUCCCGAUUCUUUGCAAAAUUGCUCUAUUUUGUUGAGUAUCGACGUUGGAGGCAACAAAUUAUCCAGGAGGUUACCUCCAUGGAUAGGAGGAUAUGGUGGAUCCAUGUUGUACAUGCUACAAUUGCGAAACAACUAUUUUACUGGACAUAUUCCCCGACAAUUGUGCAAUCUCGGCUACCUUCACAUUCUAGACAUUAGCCACAACAACUUUUCAGGUAUUAUUCCCAACUGUUUCAAUAAUUUGACUUCUCUCUUCCGUGAUGUUGCGGAUAAAUACCUCAACUACUAUCAUCCGCAAACCAUGCUGACAUUAAAAGCAGAAGAACUUGUGUCUAACACCACUCUAAUGCUCAUAAAGAGCAUUGAUCUUUCUUCAAAUAUUUUGGAAGGUGAAAUCCCUCAAGAGAUAGGUAGCCUCAUUCAUUUGGGUACCUUGAACUUGUCGAGGAAUCAAUUGACAGGUAAGAUCCCUUCUAAGGUUGGAAAUUUGCGUGGACUCGAAUCUCUUGAUCUUUCACACAACCAUCUUUCGGGACAUAUUCCUCAAAGUUUGCAUCCUUAACAUUUUUGUCCCAUUUGAAUUUGUCUUAUAACAACUUGGUGGGGAGAAUUCCUUUGGGCAAUCAACUCCAAACCCUCAUUGAUUCAUCCAUUUAUAUGGAGAAUCCAUCUGUGUGUGGAGUUCCUCUUCCAACAAAAUGCCGCCCCGGAGAUAGCUACACAUGCAAAACCCAAUGAUGAAGAUGGAAAUAAUAAGUUGUGGUUCGAUGUCAAUAUGGUAUUUGGCUUUGUCAUGGACUUUUGGGGCGUUUGUGGCACAUUAAUGGUAAAGAAAUCAUGGAGGUAUGCCUAUUUUCGAUCAUUUGACAACAUCAAGGAUAAGAUGACGCCAGCAAUUGCGUCAAAGGAAAUUUCGUGAUGUUUAGUAGUGCACAAUAAUUUAAAGAGAAAUUAAAGAAAGUGAUGCUUUCUAUACACGCGUGUUUUGUCAUUGAAGAUAUCAAAACUCAAUUGUUUUUGUUAUUGAAGAUAUCACUCUUCUAUGUAGUGAUGCCGUUCAUACAUGGCCAGCAAUUUCAUCUGGGCGCCAGUUCUCAGCUACCACCGUUUGCCUCUCGGUUCCUCAUCCACCGCUCCCGUUGUUCUUCCUCGGUGGUGUGUGGUGGUCCGUGGCUGCGAUUAAAGUGCAUCAUGCACUUAACACUUGGAUUAUGGGAGCGCUUCCGCGCGGGUGGCCUGCUCACCCCCAUCUUCCGUUGGCCUCUUUGAUACCCCCUGGUGUCGGUUACUCCUCCUUGGUGGUGGCAGAUCUGUUCCUGGUGGUGUUGUCGGUAUGCUAUGUGUGGCUGCUCCUGUGUUCUAGAUCUAGGGUUUCUUUGUUUAAUAUUUUAUGGGUUUCUGCUGUUUAUUUGCUUUUCUAUCCUUGGGCCUGUUUUAUUUGUUGGUAUUGGGCUGCAUUGGAAAUGAGUUUCCUCAAUUUGUAAUGCUUUCCACUAUUAAUGAAUAGUAUUCCCUGACCAAAAAAAAAAGAAGAUAUCAC
Molecule: non-coding RNA, 3369 nt
Organism: Prunus mume (Japanese apricot)
Lineage: Eukaryota; Viridiplantae; Streptophyta; Magnoliopsida; Rosales; Rosaceae
Source: RefSeq, a predicted model, not a curated record